AGCGAACGCUGGCGGCAGGCCUAACACAUGCAAGUCGAACGAACCUUUCGGGGUUAGUGGCGGACGGGUGAGUAACACGUGGGAACGUGCCUUUAGGUUCGGAAUAACUCAGGGAAACUUGUGCUAAUACCGAAUGUGCCCUUCGGGGGAAAGAUUUAUCGCCUUUAGAGCGGCCCGCGUCUGAUUAGCUAGUUGGUUGAGGUAAUGGCUCACCAAGGCGACGAUCAGUAGCUGGUCUGAGAGGAUGAUCAGCCACAUUGGGACUGAGACACGGCCCAAACUCCUACGGGAGGCAGCAGUGGGGAAUCUUGCGCAAUGGGCGAAAGCCUGACGCAGCCAUGCCGCGUGAAUGGUGAAGGUCUUAGGAUUGUAAAAUUCUUUCACCGGGGACGAUAAUGACGGUACCCGGAGAAGAAGCCCCGGCUAACUUCGU
Molecule: ribosomal RNA, 433 nt
Filed under: uncultured bacterium
Lineage: Bacteria
Description: partial 16S ribosomal RNA
Rfam family: Bacterial small subunit ribosomal RNA
Source: RNAcentral